This is a long non-coding RNA of Chinchilla lanigera (long-tailed chinchilla), 394 nucleotides long. RefSeq lists it as uncharacterized. The transcript has 3 exons. The record is from RefSeq and is a predicted model, not a curated record. Lineage: Eukaryota; Metazoa; Chordata; Mammalia; Rodentia; Chinchillidae.
AAGAAAUUGAGGUGCCUGACCUAUCUGGGGAACAGCCGAAGUUUAUGUUCCAGUUCCUGGUUUGUGAAAAAUUCUUCCAUGAAAUGGUGAUAGCCUGUAAGGUGGUUUUCAUCAAACCUUGAGCAAUUUUAAUGCAAACAAAAUCUCCUCGGUAUCAUUGUUAUUCUAUAAACCUCAAGCCUAUACCCAUCACUUUUCCAUAUCUUUUACAUUCCUAUGAUCACUACUGGAAAGCCCAGAGAUAUGGUGAUAUCAUUAUGCAAAAACCCAAAUAAAAGACACUUCGGAGGCAGUAGCUACAGCCAUGUUCUGAAGCGGUGUCUUCAUGCUGCAGACCAAGUGCUCGCAGAGGUGGACAGGGACACCAGGCUGGAGGCCAGCAGAGAAAGCAAUC